This 253-nucleotide ribosomal RNA is filed under the name uncultured bacterium. RNAcentral's name for it is "partial 16S ribosomal RNA". It matches the Rfam family "Bacterial small subunit ribosomal RNA", at positions 524 to 776 of the family's 1533-position model. The record is from RNAcentral.
UACGUAGGGGGCAAGCGUUGUCCGGAUUUAUUGGGCGUAAAGGGCGCGUAGGCGGCCAUUCAAGUGACGGGUGAAAGCCCUCGGCUUAACCGAGGAACUGCCUGUCAGACUGGAUGGCUCGAGACCGGGAGAGGUGAGUGGAAUUCCCAGUGUAGCGGUGAAAUGCGUAGAUAUUGGGAGGAACACCAGUGGCGAAGGCGGCUCACUGGACCGGAACUGACGCUGAUGCGCGAAAGCGUGGGGAGCAAACAGG